RNAcentral lists this ribosomal RNA (649 nucleotides) under uncultured bacterium. Its description in RNAcentral is "bacterial SSU rRNA". It matches the Rfam family "Bacterial small subunit ribosomal RNA", at positions 82 to 766 of the family's 1533-position model. The record is from RNAcentral.
UUGACGUCGGGUAGUGGCGCACGGGUGCGUAACGCGUGGGAACCUGCCUUUAGGUUCGGAAUAACUCAGAGAAAUUUGAGCUAAUACCGGAUAAUGUCUUCGGACCAAAGAUUUAUCGCCUUUAGAUGGGCCCGCGUUAGAUUAGAUAGUUGGUGGGGUAACGGCCUACCAAGUCGACGAUCUAUAGCUGGUCUGAGAGGAUGAUCAGCCACACUGGGACUGAGACACGGCCCAGACUCCUACGGGAGGCAGCAGUGGGGAAUAUUGGACAAUGGGCGAAAGCCUGAUCCAGCAAUGCCGCGUGAGUGAUGAAGGCCUUAGGGUUGUAAAGCUCUUUUACUAGGGAUGAUAAUGACAGUACCUAGAGAAUAAGCUCCGGCUAACUCCGUGCCAGCAGCCGCGGUAAUACGGAGGGAGCUAGCGUUGUUCGGAAUUACUGGGCGUAAAGCGCGCGUAGGCGGCUUAUCAAGUCAGGGGUGAAAUCCCGGAGCUCAACUCCGGAACUGCCCUUGAAACUGGUUGGCUAGAAUAUUGGAGAGGUAAGUGGAAUUCCGAGUGUAGAGGUGAAAUUCGUAGAUAUUCGGAAGAACACCAGUGGCGAAGGCGACUUACUGGACAAUUAUUGACGCUGAGGUGCGAAAGCGUGGGG